AAGAUAGGUAAAAAGGACGAAGAAGUAAAGACGCCAUGGCCGCCAAGACACACCUGUCCAUUUUUAACGAGUCGACCAACGAACGCCUGGGCCACCGUGAGCCUGAGAUGUACGAAUCAUACAUGCACACCAUCAUCUGUGGCAUCAUGACGGUCUUCAGCGCAGUCUGCGUCAUCAUCAUCGUCUACAUAGCCGCGAGCCACCCGAAGC
Dermacentor andersoni is the source of this 210-nucleotide long non-coding RNA. RefSeq lists it as uncharacterized. The record is from RefSeq and is a predicted model, not a curated record. Lineage: Eukaryota; Metazoa; Arthropoda; Arachnida; Ixodida; Ixodidae.